Acanthosepion pharaonis is the source of this 99-nucleotide non-coding RNA. Lineage: Eukaryota; Metazoa; Mollusca; Cephalopoda; Sepiida; Sepiidae. The record is from the annotation of a GenBank genome assembly.
GCAGAAACAUUGGUUCUCGUCCUAUCAUCGAAGUUAAUCAAUUUUGAUCUUGGCCAGUACCUAGAUGGGUAACCACUUGGGAAUACCAGGUGCUGUAAG